AUGGAGACACUUCUAAGCGCGUCACCUCGCCUUUCGUUUCAGAACGGAAAGGGUCCUCUUUGCUCCUGAAGACGGUAAAUCACCGGCUGCGUGGUGGUUCUCAGAAGACACUUAAAGGGCUGAGUUGGAUGCUCUCCAUAGCACCCUUGCCAAAAGAGUUCGGAAAUGACUUCCAGCUUCCCACAGUCAUAAAAUGGCACAGUUUGGCAUCUUUAAGGUCACAGACUACCUAUUCUAAACCUUCUGACUAGUUCUGAAGAGUAUGGAGCUUACAUAGAUUCCUAAGGUAAAUGAUCAAUUUCUAAGCAAGACAUAAUGGAUUCAAUUUUGGUAUGAAUUCAGGCAUUGUCU
This 351-nucleotide long non-coding RNA is filed under the name Chinchilla lanigera (long-tailed chinchilla). RNAcentral's name for it is "lncRNA (ENSCLAG00000028774.1)". The record is from RNAcentral. Lineage: Eukaryota; Metazoa; Chordata; Mammalia; Rodentia; Chinchillidae.